Molecule: non-coding RNA, 268 nt
Organism: Peromyscus maniculatus bairdii (prairie deer mouse)
Lineage: Eukaryota; Metazoa; Chordata; Mammalia; Rodentia; Cricetidae
Source: RefSeq, a predicted model, not a curated record
CUCAGCUUCCCAAGCAUUGGCAUUAGAGGCAUAUAGCUUCAUUCCUAACUUCUAUCUGCAUCUAGAUGAUCAGAAAAAUAAAAGGAAAAAAGUUUCUGAUGUCCAUCCUCACAUGCAAGGAGUGGAUUAAGCAGUCAUCCUAUUCUAGAAUUAAAACCAGUACCUAUGUGUAUAGAGACUUUCAGCGGGCAAAGCCUUAGCAAGCUUCAAGCUGCACCAACAACCGCUGAUCGUUAAAAAUCUACGUUGACCCUCAUGAUGCCCCAGG